This 739-nucleotide unclassified non-coding RNA is filed under the name uncultured soil eukaryote. Its description in RNAcentral is "sequence contains 5.8S rRNA gene, ITS2, 28S rRNA gene". The stretch from base 319 to 739 matches the Rfam family "Eukaryotic large subunit ribosomal RNA", at positions 1 to 418 of the family's 3401-position model. The record is from RNAcentral.
AAGGCUUAGCGGCGGAUGAAUCGGCUCAGAUAGCGAUGAAGAUCGUAGCAAACUGCGUUAAGAGGUGCGAACUGCGGUAAUCUGCGAGUACUUUAUCAUUGAAUGCACGCUGCACCGAACUUUCGUUCGGUGUGUUCGAUUGAGUUGCGAGAUAAAACCUCAACCCAGUACACUGGUUUUGGAGAGCCUAGUAGGUGUCCACUAGCUCUCUCAAAUGUCGGCUUCAGGAAAGUCACGAUCAUCUUCUCGCUCUUCGGGCGGUAUUGAGAGAGACUAGUACUGAUCCACAUAGAAUCGAUCGUUAUGAUCCUAUCGAUUCGCACUCAACUCGAGCACGACUACCCUUGGAAUUUAAGCAUAUAAUUACGGGGAGGAAAAGAAACUAACAAGGAUUCGCCUAGUAACUGCGAGUGAAGAGCGAACAGCCCAUCCUGAAUCCGAGAUCAUUAACUUGGUCGAGGAGUUGUAGGGUAAGGUCGGUCUUUUUGUAGCGGCGCGCGGCUUGAAGUCCGUUGGAAAGCGGUCCCAUAGAAGGUGAAAGGCCUGUAAGGCUGUGCGCUGUUGCUCUAUAAAGGCUGAACCAUGAGUCGUACUAUUUGAGAGUAUAGUACUAAGCGGUGAUAUGCAUCAUCGAAGGCUAAAUAUUGAUCUGAGACCGAUAGCAAACAAGUAGCAUGAGCGAAAUUUGAAAAGAACUUUGGAAAGAGAGUUAAAAGUACCUGAAACCGCUAAGUCGAAA